Monodelphis domestica (gray short-tailed opossum) is the source of this 1691-nucleotide long non-coding RNA. The record is from Ensembl. Lineage: Eukaryota; Metazoa; Chordata; Mammalia; Didelphimorphia; Didelphidae.
CUGGAUUCUCUGAGAAGAAACUGCUUGCCCUCCAAGGAAUGAUAUAGUAGUCAUGUGAAAGAGCUCAUCCAUUAAAGGAGGAGAGGAAGAAGAGAUAUUGGGAUAUGGAGAUAGCUCUUUGUCCACCUGAUAGAAACAAUAGAGAAACGUAGUAUUUCUAGGCAUUUUCCCCAUACAUAAGAGACCCUCCCAAGAUGCCAUCUCUCCUCUGACACUGCCACUACCCUUGUACAGACCCUUAUUGCCUCAGACCUGGACUAUUACAAGAGCCUGCUAGUUGUCUCCCCACCUCAAGUUGCUCUCUACUCUCCUCCAUCCUCCACUCAGUUGUAAAAGCAGUCUUCCUGAAGCUAUUUUACUUUUUUGGGGGUGAGAUAGCAGCCAGAACAUGAAGGAUAAGGAAAUCUGAAGAGGCAAAGAGAGAAAUGAAGGAGCUAAUUUUCUAGGGAAAGGAUACAACAGCUAAGUACACAAAAUAAUUAGAGGACGGAGAACACAGUAACAACUAACCCUGUUGGGAAAAGUGCUAUCUUCACUAAGUCUUGAAGGAAGGAAAAUGAGAAUUCUUUGAGAUGGAAUACUUUCUGGGAAUGGAUUGUGACUUGUUAAGGAGCAGAAUUUGAAUCCAUGUCUUCCUGACUUUAAUUCAUCACUUCAAAUUCAUCACUCUGUCCACUUCACCCAUUUAGAUCCAACAAAGUAUAUCAUAUAGCAAGGCUUAAUGCAAUUCUUUGUAUGUAUCAGACAUAAAACUGCACAGGUCAUUCCAGUUGACAUGGAAUUCCUCCAGUUCGUUAUUUCUUUGGGCACAAUAGUAUUCCAUCACCAACAGAAACCACAAUUUGUUCAGCCAUUCCCCAAUUGGAGGACAUCCCUUCAUUUUCCAAUUUUUUUCCACCACAAAGAGCGCAGCUAUGAAUAUUCUUGUACAAGUGUUUUUCCUUAUUAUCUCUUUGGGGAUAUAAACCCAGCAGUGCUAUAACUGGAUCAAAGGGCAUACAGACUUUUAGCACCCUUUGGGCAUAGAUUCAAAUUGCCCUCCAAAAUGGCUGAAUCAAUUCACAACUCCACCAGCAAUGCAUCAAUGUCCAAUUUUGCCACAUCCCCUCCAAUAAUCAUUACUUUCCUUUGCUAUCAUGUUAGCCAAUAUGCUGGAUGUGAGGUGGUACCUCAGAGUUCCUUUGAUUAUCAUUUCUCUGAUUAUGAGAUUUAGAACACUUUUUAUGUGCUUAUUAAUAGUUUUGAUUUCUUUAUCUGAAAAUUGCCUAUUGUGAAAAAGAGAUUACUACACCAGAGAAAUAUUGGCAAGCAAAUGCAAGAAAUGGAAUUUUGAAGGAACUGUCAAUCAACCAAAAGGAAGGAAGAUUCCAAUAGAAUCUGAUGAGAAGGCAAUUGGGAAAACCAGCAGUGGAAGGGGAGACUUUUCUUCCUGCUGUCUGGAAGGAAAGAUCAACUGAGAGAUAGGCUUGCUCUGGAUUCCUGGUUACUCACCGACUCAAUAUUAAAAAGAUUGGAACUUAGCUCUGAAGAACUUUUUCAGUUUGUCAACAAUGUCCCCUCAUAGACAAAAUAACUAUUUCCAUGUAUUGAACCCCAUAGGAAAUUGGGGAGACCCUAACUUCCCUCUUCCCUCUCCCUCCUCUCUUAAUUCCUCUAAAUUUAUAAUAAACCCCUUUCAGAAAAGAGUUACA